This 516-nucleotide ribosomal RNA is filed under the name uncultured bacterium. Its description in RNAcentral is "partial 16S ribosomal RNA". It matches the Rfam family "Bacterial small subunit ribosomal RNA", at positions 899 to 1397 of the family's 1533-position model. The record is from RNAcentral.
ACUCAAAUGAAUUGACGGGGACUUGCACAAGCGGUGGAUCAUGUGGUUUAAUUCGACGAUAAACGAAGAACCUUACCAGGGUUAGAAAUCAAGACGAAGAUAGCCAGAAACGGUUAUCGCCUUCGGGCGGCUUGACAGGUGAUGCAUGGUCGUCGUCAGUUCGUGGUUUGAAUUGUUCCCUUAAGUGGGGUAACGAACGAAACCCUCGUUGUGUGUUAUAUAUGUCACACGAGACUGCCCCCUUUCUGCGCACAAGCAAUUGUGUUUGCGAACAGAGAGGGGGGAGGAAGGAGAGGAUGACGCCAGAUCAGCAUGUCCCUUGAUACCCUGGGCUACACACGUGAUACAAUGGUCACUACAAAGGGCUGCAAUACCGUAAGGUGGAGCCAAUCCCUAAAAGUGGCCUCAGUUCAGAUUGAGGUCUGAAACUCGACCUCAUGAAGCUGGAAUCGCUAGUAAUCGCAGGUCAGCUAUACUGCGGUGAAUACGUUCUCAAGUCUUGUACACACCGCCCGU